This 476-nucleotide ribosomal RNA is filed under the name uncultured Sphingobacteriales bacterium. RNAcentral's name for it is "bacterial SSU rRNA". It matches the Rfam family "Bacterial small subunit ribosomal RNA", at positions 901 to 1382 of the family's 1533-position model. Lineage: Bacteria; Pseudomonadati; Bacteroidota; Sphingobacteriia; Sphingobacteriales. The record is from RNAcentral.
UUAAAGGAAUUGACGGGGCCGCACAAGCGGAGGAACAUGUGGUUUAAUUCGAUGAUACGCGAGGAACCUUACCUGGGCUUAAAUGGGAGUGACAGCUGUCGAAAGAUGGUUUUCUUCGGACACUCUUCAAGGUGCUGCAUGGUUGUCGUCAGCCCGUGCCGUGAGGUGUCGGGUUAAGUCCCAUAACGAGCGCAACCCUUGCCGUUAGUUACCAUCAGGUUAAGCUGGGGACUCUAGCAGGACUGCCACCGUAAGGUGAGAGGAAGGUGGGGAUGACGUCAAAUCAGCACGGCCCUUAUGUCCAGGGCUACACACGUGUUACAAUGGCCAGUACAAAGGGCAGCUACCGGGUGACCGGAUGCUAAUCUCUAAAGCUGGUCUCAGUUCGGAUCGAAGUCUGCAACCCGACUUCGUGAAGCUGGAUUCGCUAGUAAUCGCAGAUCAGCAACGCUGCGGUGAAUACGUUCCCGGGCCUU